Molecule: ribosomal RNA, 619 nt
Filed under: Bacillus cereus
Lineage: Bacteria; Bacillati; Bacillota; Bacilli; Caryophanales; Bacillaceae
Description: bacterial SSU rRNA
Rfam family: Bacterial small subunit ribosomal RNA
Source: RNAcentral
AGACUGGGAUAACUCCGGGAAACCGGGGCUAAUACCGGAUAACAUUUUGAACCGCAUGGUUCGAAAUUGAAAGGCGGCUUCGGCUGUCACUUAUGGAUGGACCCGCGUCGCAUUAGCUAGUUGGUGAGGUAACGGCUCACCAAGGCAACGAUGCGUAGCCGACCUGAGAGGGUGAUCGGCCACACUGGGACUGAGACACGGCCCAGACUCCUACGGGAGGCAGCAGUAGGGAAUCUUUCCGCAAUGGACGAAAGUCUGACGGAGCAACGCCGCGUGAGUGAUGAAGGCUUUCGGGUCGUAAAACUCUGUUGUUAGGGAAGAACAAGUGCUAGUUGAAUAAGCUGGCACCUUGACGGUACCUAACCAGAAAGCCACGGCUAACUACGUGCCACCACCCGCGGUAAUACGUAGGGUGGCAAGCGUUAUCCGGAAUUAUUGGGCGUAAAGCGCGCGCAGGUGGUUUCUUAAGUCUGAUGUGAAAGCCCACGGCUCACCCGUGGGAGGGUCAUUGGAAACUGGGAGACUUGAGUGCAAAAGAGGAAAGUGGAAUUCCAUGUGUAGCGGUGAAAUGCGUAGAGAUAUGGAGGAACACCAGUGGCGAAGGCGACUUUCUGGUCUG